AGCGGAGGAAAAGAAACUAACAAGGAUUCCCCUAGUAACGGCGAGCGAAGCGGGAAGAGCUCAAAUUUGAAAGCUGGCACCUCCGGUGUCCGCGUUGUAAUCUCGAGACGUGUUUUCCGUGCGGCUCUAUGGACAAGUCCCUUGGAAUAGGGCAUCGUAGAGGGUGAGAAUCCCGUACUUGCCAUGGAAGAACCGUGCUUUGCGAUACACGCUCUAAGAGUCGAGUUGUUUGGGAUUGCAGCUCAAAAUGGGUGGUAGACUCCAUCUAAAGCUAAAUAUCGGGGAGAGACCGAUAGCGAACAAGUACCGUGAGGGAAAGAUGAAAAGCACUUUGGAAAGAGAGUUAAAAGUACGUGAAAUUGUCGAAAGGGAAGCACUUGAAGUCAGCCAUGCUGCUUGAGACUCAGCCUGGCCUUUGGGCUUGGUGUAUUUCUCGGUGGCAAGCCAGCAUUGGUUUGGGUCGUCGGAGAAGCGCAUAGGGAAUGUAGCGUCUCCGGACGUGUUAUAGCCUUAUGCAGGAUACGACGACCUGGAUCAAGGAACGCAGUGUGCCCUCUGGGCGGGUCUUCGGACACCUUCACAC
RNAcentral lists this ribosomal RNA (583 nucleotides) under Malassezia globosa. Its description in RNAcentral is "LSU rRNA". It matches the Rfam family "Eukaryotic large subunit ribosomal RNA", at positions 49 to 616 of the family's 3401-position model. The record is from RNAcentral. Lineage: Eukaryota; Fungi; Basidiomycota; Malasseziomycetes; Malasseziales; Malasseziaceae.